CCCCUCUAGAGAUAGAGUUUUCCCCUUCGGGGGACAGAGUGACAGGUGGUGCAUGGUUGUCGUCAGCUCGUGUCGUGAGAUGUUGGGUUAAGUCCCGCAACGAGCGCAACCCUUAAGCUUAGUUGCCAUCAUUAAGUUGGGCACUCUAAGUUGACUGCCGGUGACAAACCGGAGGAAGGUGGGGAUGACGUCAAAUCAUCAUGCCCCUUAUGAUUUGGGCUACACACGUGCUACAAUGGACAAUACAAAGGGUAGCGAAACCGCGAGGUCAAGCAAAUCCCAUAAAGUUGUUCUCAGUUCGGAUUGUAGUCUGCAACUCGACUAUAUGAAGCUGGAAUCGCUAGUAAUCGUAGAUCAGCAUGCUACGGUGAAUACGUUCCCGGGUCUUGUACACACCGCCCGUCACACCACGAGAGUUUGUAACACCCGAAGCCGGUGGAGUAACCAUUUGGAGCUAGCCGUCGAAGGUGGGACAAAUGAUUGGGGUGAAGUCGUAACAAGGUAGCCGUAUCGGAAGGUGCGGCUGGAUCACCUCCUUUCUA
This 542-nucleotide ribosomal RNA is filed under the name Staphylococcus epidermidis Scl25. RNAcentral's name for it is "bacterial SSU rRNA". It matches the Rfam family "Bacterial small subunit ribosomal RNA", at positions 995 to 1533 of the family's 1533-position model. The record is from RNAcentral. Lineage: Bacteria; Bacillati; Bacillota; Bacilli; Caryophanales; Staphylococcaceae.